UUAAAUUAUAUGAGAUUUGUCCUGACCAAUGAUUAAUWUAAUGGCCGCGGUAUCUUGACCGUGCAAAGGUAGCAUAAUCAUUAGUUUAUUAAUUGUAAACUUGUAUGAACGGUUUGACGAAAUUAUAACUGUCUCAUUUUUAUUAUUAGAAUUUAAAUUUUAAGUUAAAAUGCUUAAAUUUUUUUGUAGGACGAGAAGACCCUAUAGAUCUUUAAUAAUAAUAAUUAACUUUUUUUAGAUUAUUUUUUAAUUUUAUUAUUUAUUAUUUUUGUUGGGGUGACAUAAGGAUAUAAGUAACUCUUAUUUUUAUUAUCCAUUUAUUUAUGAAUUAUUGAUCUUUUAUUAUUGUUCAUAAGAUGUAGAUACCUUAGGGAUAACAGCGUAAUCUUCUUUGAGAGUUCAUAUCGACAAGGGGGGUUGCGACCUCGAUGUUGGAUUAAGAUUAUACUUGGGUGUAGAUGUUCAAGUAUUAGGUCUGUUCGACCUUUAAAUUCUUACA
Molecule: ribosomal RNA, 499 nt
Filed under: Diapheromera femorata
Lineage: Eukaryota; Metazoa; Arthropoda; Insecta; Phasmatodea; Diapheromeridae
Description: partial 16S ribosomal RNA
Rfam family: Bacterial large subunit ribosomal RNA
Source: RNAcentral